RNAcentral lists this ribosomal RNA (253 nucleotides) under uncultured bacterium. RNAcentral's name for it is "partial 16S ribosomal RNA". It matches the Rfam family "Bacterial small subunit ribosomal RNA", at positions 524 to 776 of the family's 1533-position model. The record is from RNAcentral.
UACGGAGGGUGCAAGCGUUGUUCGGAAUUACUGGGCGUAAAGCGCGUGCAGGCGGCUGGGUAAGUCAGAUGUGAAAGCCUUCCGCUCAACGGAAGAAGGGCAUUUGAAACUACCCAGCUAGAGUACGGGAGAGGAGAGUGGAAUUCCCGGUGUAGAGGUGAAAUUCGUAGAUAUCGGGAGGAACACCAGUGGCGAAGGCGGCUCUCUGGUCCGAUACUGACGCUGAGACGCGAAAGCGUGGGGAGCAAACAGG